This 832-nucleotide long non-coding RNA is filed under the name Anser brachyrhynchus (Pink-footed goose). RNAcentral describes it as "lncRNA (ENSABRG00000003153.1)". Lineage: Eukaryota; Metazoa; Chordata; Aves; Anseriformes; Anatidae. The record is from RNAcentral.
GGCAAAUUUAAACAUUCUCUUAUUUGCUGGUCUUAUUUGACUAACAAACAUGAAGCUUGAUCAACAGUUCGCAGUAUGCAGUGGAGAAAAGCCUCAUCUUACCUCAUCUGCCACAAUCUCACUUCCAAGAAGUGAUGACCGCAGGAAGAGGCGCUGCCUUUUUACCUGCCUGUCGUCAUUGUGAGCACACAAUCAGUCCACAGGGUCCAGGUUACCGUCUCCAUCUGUUGACAUACGGAAACCAAGGCAACCAAGCCAGCCUCCUGGCUUUCCUUACCCCAAAAUUCCGAGCAGAGACUCCCCGGGACAGAAUCUGUUGUUGGUGCACAACCUCUCCCAGAAAGAACUUGGUGUCCUUAGGGACAAGUUCUUGGGCAGAUCAUUGCAGUAGAGUACUGUUUUAUUGUGAAAACUUGAGGCUGGACUCCAAUUAAUAACCAGAAACUACAGGAGAAAAUAAGAGUGAAGUCGUGUAUACUGAGAAAUACGAGACGCUUUCUGCAGAAACAAAGGAUGUACAUGCAAUGAUGCACUCAGACAAACUCUCAGAAAGCUGAGAUGAAUCUAGGAAUAUCAAGAUUUGUAAGUAUGUUUCCUGUUUUGCUGCAGUGUUUAAGGACAAAAUGACAGUUUACAAGGCAAUGUUUCCCCAGAAAAAUAUUGCCUUUUCUGGGGGGAAAAAAAGUGCCUCACAGCUCUUGCUGCUCCCUGGUAAAUUGAACGCAGCCAGGUGCAGGCUGAAGCACUUGCAGUGGUCCUGAUGACUGCUGAAUCUGAUCUUUUGCUGGGAUUUAUGAAAAGUCUCUCCCAGCUGUAAUUUCUUGACUUGGAC